ACCUGGAGCCCAGGGGGGUGAGGGGAAGCCGGCCGGGUGCACCUGUCAUAGCUGACCUGGAGACCAGGGGGUGAGGGGAAGGUGGUGGGCGCACCUGUCAUAGUCCUGGCAGAUCUCGCCCACGGACACCAGUGCCUUCAGGUACUCGUUCGGCUGGUAGGGGUUGAUGUAGUGCAGGGAGCAGCUGUUCCGCGGGUCUCCAUUGGAGGCGGUGAAGUCAAUGGCCACCUGCAGCGGGCCGGGAGCCAGGAGCUGUGCUGGGCUGGGGCUCCCCGAACCCACUCCUGACAGGUAGAGAAACCGCGCCCAGAGUGGCCAGGACUCAGGGUCAGGGGUCGCGUGGGUGGGUAGGGCUGGGGGGCUGCUGUUGGGGCUGACCCACCUGCUACACAGGGCCAGGAGGGGUCUCCUCAAAACCUGCCAGCCCCUAGGCUCCCUGGAUCUCCGGGAGGACACCCCAGCAGGAUCACCCUGGCCUUGUGGGGGCCCCGCCCAUCCUUCUUAGUGGCCACCCAACCCCUCUACCACCCUCCCCGGCAGGGCCUAAGUGGACCAAGCCUGGUCUGGGUCCCCUCCACAUUUCCCACUUGCUGGCUUCUCCCAAAGCCAUUCUGGGGCUCGUUCAACAAAACACGAACCAGCGCAUCUGCAAAUAACACGCGGGUGACACGGGGGCCGUGUAUCUGUGGGUGACACGCGGGUGACACGGGGGCCGUGUAUCUGUGGGUGACACGCGGGUGACACGGGGGCCGUGUAUCUGUGGGUGACAUGUGGGUGACACGGGGGGCCGUGUAUCUGUGGGUGACACGCAGGUGACACGGGGGGCCGUGUUUCUGUGGGUGACACGCGGGUGACAUGGGGGGUCGUGUAUCUGUGGGUGACACGGGGGUGCUGUGGGGGUGACACGGGGUGUGCGUAUCUGUGGGUGACGCGGGGUCUGCGGGUGACAUGGGGGUGACACGGGGUCUGUGCCGGGCUCCUUGGAUGACACGUAGAGACUGUGGCUGGUUCACUCAAACGCUCACUCCAGCUUCUCCUCGUUCACGUUUUGUCUGUUGUUAAAUGUGUUUGUGGAAGGUAAGCCCUGGUGAUGUCACCUCCCAAGGCGGGCUUGGGGCUGCUUCCUGAACCCCAAGCCCGUUUCCUCGCCUGCACAAAAGGGAGGACCCCCAGGAGCCGCGCAUGGAGACAUCGGCUC
Molecule: long non-coding RNA, 1198 nt
Filed under: Pan troglodytes (chimpanzee)
Lineage: Eukaryota; Metazoa; Chordata; Mammalia; Primates; Hominidae
Description: long non-coding RNA NONPTRT006452
Source: RNAcentral